This 491-nucleotide ribosomal RNA is filed under the name uncultured bacterium. RNAcentral's name for it is "bacterial SSU rRNA". It matches the Rfam family "Bacterial small subunit ribosomal RNA", at positions 903 to 1397 of the family's 1533-position model. The record is from RNAcentral.
AAAUGAAUAGACGGGGGCCCGCACAAGCAGUGGAGUAUGUGGUUUAAUUCGACGCAACGCGAAGAACCUUACCAGGGCUUGACAUAUAAAAGCAUAGGUAAGAGAUUACUGAAAUCCUUCGGGACUUUUAUACAAGUGGUGCAUGGUUGUCGUCAGCUCGUGUCGUGAGAUGUUGGGUUAAGUCCCGCAACGAGCGCAACCCCUAUGUUUAGUUACUACAUUAAGUUGAGUACUUUAAACAGACUGCCAGUGAUAAAUUGGAGGAAGGUGGGGACGACGUCAAAUCAUCAUGCUCUUUAUGUCCUGGGCUACACACGUACUACAAUGGGGAGACCAGAGGGAAGCGAAACAGAGAUGUUAAGCAAAACCCAAAAGCUCUUCAAAGUUCGAAUUGCAGAUUGAAACUCAUCUGCAUGAAGCCGGAAUUGCUAGUAAUGGCAGGUCAUCAUACUGCCGUGAAUACGUUCCCGGGCCUUGUACACACCGCCCGU